ACGGGAGGCAGCAGUGAGGAAUAUUGGUCAAUGGGCGGAAGCCUGAACCAGCCAAGUCGCGUGAAGGAUGAAGGUAUUAUGUAUUGUAAACUUCUUUAGACGUAGAGAAAUAAGGGGAUCGUGAUCCCUGAUGCUAGUAUACGUAGAAUAAGGAUCGGCUAACUCCGUGCCAGCAGCCGCGGUAAUACGGAGGAUCCGAGCGUUAUCCGGAUUUAUUGGGUUUAAAGGGUGCGCAGGCGGUCUUUUAAGUCAGUGGUUAAAUCGUGGAGCUUAACUCCAUCCCGCCAUUGAUACUGGAGGACUUGAUUGCGGUUGAGGUUGGCGGAAUUCGCCGUGUAGCGGUGAAAUGCAUAGAUAUGGCGAAGAACUCCGAUUGCGUAGGCAGCUUACCAGACCGACAAUGACGCUCAUGCACGAAAGUGCGGGGAUCGAACAGGAUUAGAUACCCUGGUA
RNAcentral lists this ribosomal RNA (453 nucleotides) under uncultured Bacteroides sp. Its description in RNAcentral is "partial 16S ribosomal RNA". It matches the Rfam family "Bacterial small subunit ribosomal RNA", at positions 341 to 792 of the family's 1533-position model. Lineage: Bacteria; Pseudomonadati; Bacteroidota; Bacteroidia; Bacteroidales; Bacteroidaceae. The record is from RNAcentral.